UUCCCUAACAACACACAACAUUCCAGGAAUGUACUACCAAAGUUCUAUCAAUAUUUGAAUGUCCUGGACAUUUAGGGAACAUUCGGUGAACAUCUGUUUAAAUUAUUCCUGGAAUGUUACCAUAAGACAUUCUGUGAACAUACUACCAAUGUUCCUAUAUUUUAAGUUGCGAAAUAAUACAUACGUGUAAGAGAUACAACAUUACUUAUAACAUACCAGACAAACUAAGUGACAUUUUAGGCCUACAGUGCAAUAAUAUGUCAAAUUUAAAGAGUUUCCCAAGAUUAUAAACAUACAAAUGUAAUAAAAAUUAUUGUUCGCGAAUAUUCAAUUUGGAAUGCGAUUUUGUUAAUAAAAAAAAUACUUAUAACUUAUGCAAAACCCAAGAGAGGCAUUUAUAUUUAUUUUUUUGCGUUCAUUUUCAAAUUCGCCGUGCAUAUAUUUUUGUGCAUGGCGCUUGAGAGGGCAUCACGUGACUAAAAACGACCAACCAACGACCUCGCUUCGGCCAUCUUGGCAUCUUCAUCUUGGCGACCUUGCCUUGCCGUGGAUUGUUUUUAGUUGUUUGUAUUAUUUGUGCUUUUUAAGAAUAUUUUUUUAAUUCGGAUACUUUUAUAAUAGCUUUAAUAGUAUUAUUAACAUAGUGCAUAAAAUGGUGUCCUGUUUUUAACGCAGUUGGAGUAGCAGAAACAAAUGUAGAUAAAAAAAUCUGCAGGAAUAACGUUUCAAUUAUGACAGAAGCUCAAAACAAAUGACUGUGAAUGAAAAGCCCUAUUAAAAGCUUUCCAGAAGAUCCUGCGAAGAAGACAUGAAGUAUAGAUCAGAUUUGUUAAUAGAGGAGUAUGUUCAAAACACUUUUUAGAAAAAGAUAUUGACAGAACUUCACUUUCAUCUGUUCGUUUGAGAGACUGUGCUGUUCCAAUAGCUUAUGUCACACAGAAUCAGCUGAGAGAAGUGGUCUACAAAAAACCAGAAAGGAAACGGAAUAUGUGGCUACGAAAAGCAAAAGAAAGGUUUACAAAGCAAAUGUGACACAUUUUUUUAUAAUAUUUAGGAAUGUCAGCAAAUUACAUUAAAAAAUGUAUGUAAAGAUUUUUUGCAAUAAAAAUGUUUAUAUUUA
Diabrotica virgifera virgifera (western corn rootworm) is the source of this 1120-nucleotide long non-coding RNA. RefSeq lists it as uncharacterized. NCBI's taxonomy places the organism in Eukaryota, Metazoa, Arthropoda, Insecta, Coleoptera, Chrysomelidae. The record is from RefSeq and is a predicted model, not a curated record. The transcript has 3 exons.